The sequence is a ribosomal RNA, 437 nucleotides long. It matches the Rfam family "Bacterial small subunit ribosomal RNA", at positions 341 to 792 of the family's 1533-position model.
ACGGAAGGCAGCAGUGGGGAAUAUUGGGCAAUGGGCGAAAGCCUGACCCAGCAACGCCGCGUGAAGGAAGAAGGUCUUCGGAUUGUAAACUUCUUUUAUAAGGGACGAAGAAAGUGACGGUACCUUAUGAAUAAGCCACGGCUAACUACGUGCCAGCAGCCGCGGUAAUACGGAGGAUGCAAGCGUUAUCCGGAUUUAUUGGGUUUAAAGGGUGCGUAGGCGGACUGUUAAGUCAGCGGUGAAAUACCACGGCUCAACCGUGGGGCUGCCGUUGAUACUGGCGGUCUGGAGUACGAUCGGCGCCGGCGGAAUGUGUCAUGUAGCGGUGAAAUGCAUAGAUAUGACACAGAACACCGAUCGCGAAGGCAGCUGGCGAGAACGAUACUGACGCUGAGGCACGAAGGUGCGGGGAUCAAACAGGAUUAGAUACCCUGGUA